GGGACGGGACGGGACCGGUCCCAGGCGCGCACCGCGGGAGCCCCCCCCCCCCCCCCCGCGGCCCCCCCCCCCCGCACCUGCCGUCCCUUAUGCGCGGCGGCCGGUGCAGCGUUGCCGCGGAGGAGCCCUAGGCAAAACUGAGCCUCUGCUGCCGGCCCGGGGGGGCUGCUGGGGCGCCAUGGGGGUGGAAGACCCCCACCUGCCCAGCGGCAAUGUCAGCGCCAACCAGAGCGCCACCGACCCCACGCUCUCACGGGACGUGUGGAUGGUGGGCAUGGGGAUCCUUAUGUCGGUGAUCGUGCUGGCCAUCGUUUUCGGCAACGUGCUGGUCAUUACAGCCAUUGCCCGGUUCCAGCGCCUGCAGACUGUCACCAACUACUUCAUCACCUCGCUGGCCUGUGCUGACCUGGUGAUGGGGCUGGCCGUGGUGCCCUUCGGCGCCAGCCAUAUCAUCAUGGAGAUGUGGAAGUUCGGGAACUUCUGGUGCGAGUUCUGGACCUCCCUGGAUGUGCUCUGCGUCACAGCCAGCAUCGAGACCCUCUGCGUCAUUGCUGUGGACCGGUACUUUGCUAUCACCUCCCCUUUCAAGUACCAGAGUCUGCUGACCAAGAGCAAGGCACGAAUGGUCAUCCUCGUGGUGUGGGUGGUCUCAGCACUCACCUCCUUCUUGCCCAUCCAAAUGCACUGGUACCGGGCAGACCGUGAUGAGGCCAUCCUGUGCUAUGAGAAGGACACAUGUUGUGACUUCUUCACCAACCAAGCCUAUGCCAUUGCCUCCUCCAUCAUCUCCUUCUACCUGCCGCUUGUGGUCAUGGUAUUUGUGUAUGCCAGGGUCUUCCAGGUGGCCAAGAAGCAGUUGCAGAAGAUAGACAGGAGCGAGGGGAGGUUUCACACCCAGAACAAGGAGCAGGAGCAGAAAGGGGGACCUGGGCACCGCCGUUCCUCCAAGUUCUUCCUGAAGGAGCACAAGGCCCUCAAGACCCUGGGCAUCAUCAUGGGCACCUUCACGCUGUGCUGGCUGCCCUUCUUUAUUGUCAACAUUGUGCACGUCAUCCAGGACGACAUCAUACCCAAGUACAUGUACAUCCUCUUGAACUGGCUGGGUUAUGUCAACUCUGCCUUCAACCCUUUGAUCUACUGCCGGAGCCCGGACUUCAGGUAUGCCUUCCAGGAGCUCCUGUGCCUCCGCAGGUCCACCCUUAAGAUGUAUGCAAAUGGCUACUCAAAUAGCAAUGGCAAGAGCGACUACAAUGAGGAGGACAACAGCUACCCCCCGACGUCAGAUAAAACCUGCGAGUUGCUCUGUGAGGAGGGCUCCUUCCCUCAUCCUGAGGACUUUUUGCACUGCAAAGGUACUGUGCCUAGCGGGUAGCUUCGAGACGUGAUGGGCUUUCACUGGUUGUAAAGAGGAGCCCUUCUCUCUAAGGAAAAACCACGCCCCCAGUAAUAAUAAUAAUAAUAACAACGAUAAUAAUAAUAAUAAUGGUGAUAACAACAACGAUCCUUUUCUAGAGCACACCUAAAAUCUAAUGGCUGCAAGGAACCCAAAACUCGGCAAACCUUCUGGAAACAGAGAUCCCUGCGUGUCCAGGAAUGGUUGAGAGCUGAAUGUGCUGACCUCUUUUCCUCAUCAUCCUGAACUCAUGAGGGCUCUGAAGAGAUUGAGUGGGAGCAUGGCCUUGCUUCUCUGAGCCUGGGGAUGCUGUGAGAAGUGAUUGGCAGUGUGGCAAAUGUCUUCGUCCCAACCCAUAGCCCAUCGUGCAUCACCUGAAGGAGAAGCUGAUGAAGGAUAACCUAGGGACCAGGAAAGGCUUUACUAGCCUCAGAGGACACAGAUAGGGGACCGGCACUAGGAGAGGCACUUUGCAGGAGUCACUGCAUAUAAAACCAGCUCUGAAAAGAAACUACAGGAGUCCUGUGAACUGAAGGAGGUGAACGUCCAAAUCACCACAAAAGGUGCAAAGGUGUUUCCCUGGCACAGCAUUCCUGGAAAGCACUUUCAAAAGGGAAGGGGGUAUCAGGACCACGUGGCUGUCUCCAGUGGCUGGUUUGGAAGAGGCACAGCAAGGUCACUGCCUUACGGUCAGGUCAGGAGACCGGCAGGACGUGCUCACAGCUGCCUGUCCAUGCCCUGGCUGGGGGUCCAGACAAAACAGAAGUAUGACCAAGACUGAGAGAGAAGGAGCGUGGAAGAUUGCUUUGAUUUAUUCUGUGCUUGUUCCUCCUUCUUGUGUCUUCUCUUCUCUACCUCUUUUUCUCUCUAGGCCUAUGUGUACUGCAUGUGGAGGUGGAGCCCAGACCCCCACAAACAAGCAGAAGUACUAGCAGAGGGCAAAUCCUGCUCAGUGUGCAACUGUGCUGCCCAGUGCAGUGCCAUAGCUAGAUGGGGCUAACAUUGCACAGUGCAGAUAUAAUGUGGUCUUCGUUUUUUCCUUAUGCCAACAAAUCUACAACCAUAAUGCCUGGACUUCAGACAGGAGAAAGGCUUGAACCUGGCAAACCUUCUACUUGCAAACAACCACAUGCUAGCACAACCAGCCACACCUGGUGGCCAAGUUUUAACACAGAGCAUCCAUCCCUCUCCUGUAGCUGUGGAAAUUACCAUGCUGGCCUGCUGCAUACUCAGAUCCUGCAUCCUGGAUUGUAAAAGACUCAUUAAGCAGAGGAGGAGAUGGAGAGAGUGACAGCGACUCAGGCAGAAAAUAGUAGGAAAACUCAUUCAAAACCAUAGGAAAAUGUGCACCUCUUAAUUGCAGGUGGUGUCCCAGCUGCAGACUGUCAUGCCCACCUGGGCAGCUGCAGGUGUCUGUUCACCAAGCUGCUCCCGGAGGCCUGGGUGAAACCUGCUGGUACUCAGCUGUGCCAGGAGCCCCAUAUCAGACCUUCUCUCUCAGGCUUCCAGCUGCUAACCCCUUCCCUCAUGUGCAAUCAUAUUUAUUUAUUUUCUUGCUGCUCGAUGCAAAGCUGCUAACAGAGCACGCUCCCCACAAACAUCCGCAGCCGAGAGAGGACGGAGAGAGAGAGUGUGCAUUUUGUGUGUUUGUGUGACGGGAGCGGGCAAAGGGGCAGGUGCUUGCCUUGAGCAGGCUGGAUCAGGCAUGCGCAUGGUGGGUGCAUAUGAGGCAGGAGGAAAAGGCUGCAGUUAAACCAGAAAUACUUUCCCCUAGGGUGAGUGUGCAGUUUUGAUCUUGUAAGAAUUAAGAACAAUCUGGGCAAACCUUUUUUGGGAAGGACAGCAGGACAGCUGUAGGCUGCAUAAGCUCUGCAGCGUCCCUCUAGCCAGAUUUUCUUGGUGCAACUGUGCUUAUGCAGGGUAUGUGUCUCUGUGCAAGUUGCUUGCCCAGAUAGUGUCCUCCCAGCGCUGAAGCAAAUGAAGAAAUGCAGUGCAUGAGAAAAAAGAAAUAAGAAACGCGUAAUGAAGCGUAAAUGAAAUGUGUAAUGAACUUACUAUGUGUACAUCCUGGCUUUGGACAUUCAUAGGCGGCUGUAUCCCCAGCCAGGCAAGUUCCCACUAGUGCGCUCACAGAGGUUUAAUACCUGGCAGCAUUUUCUGCUCUGUCCAAAAGAUAUAUCUGUGUACCAGCCCAUUUAACACAGCCAAUUGAGACCAGCAGACACGAGCAUCUCUAGACAAUGUGGUAGCUGUGCUGUUCAUGCUCAGCUUUGGCUGUUCCUACCCAUUUUGCUAAAACACUGGCACACCAGCAGCAUCCACUCAUGGUGAGGUAUCACAUUUUAUGGAAAGCUUGUGUGUCCCAGUGCAGAGGGGAGCUGUUUCUCUGGGAGAGGGAGGCACUCUUGUGCCCUGCUGCACUCCCAUGCUCAGGAGGGAGCCAGGGUGCCCGGGCAUCCAUUGGCAGGGCUCUUGGCUGCCCCAGGGAAACCUGGCUUCUCCCAUACCCUUCCCUCUGCAAUGCCCCACCAAGGCUUUGUCCAAACCCAUGUGGCUGCUAAAGGGAAAUAUUUCCCAACCAAAACCUGAUCCUCAGAAGAUUCCUGGCUGGCUCUAGUUAUAUUAUGUACUGAAAACACUGCCUGUGGGAUUAGUUUUCAGGUUAGAGACACGUAUGGGAUUGUUGUAGUUCUUUUUCUCGCAAAUCCUCUCAUGUGCAAAAGCAGGUUGCAGUAAAUUAAAUGGAUACACUUGUUCGGAUAAUAUGCCAGCAUGGCCCAAGAGCAGUGACCUGCUUAUUGCUGAUUGCUUCCUUGCAGAGUUGUACGAGUUGGAGAUAGAAGAGAUGUAUUACCAAUCCACCUGCCUAUGACCCUUCAGGCUUGUUCCGUGUAUUACAUUUCUUGGUGGUGUGCUGGGUCUAUUUUAAAAUGCCCUGACAUGAAGGGUUUUGUGCUGUCCUUUGGAAGAUUGCUCUGUAGUCCAAGUCAGGAGUGCUCUGUAGUCCAAGUCAGGAGCUGCUAUUGAUAUUCCACCUGCACUUCCUCCUGAAAACUUCAUUCCGUUAUUCCUAAUGAUGCUCUUCAAAUACCUGUUGCUCAUUAUGUCCUGGUCAGGAUCUACCACUUGACCUGCACUCCUCUUUCCUUCUCUAAGAACUUCUCUGGCUCCCUGAUUGCUGCUGCUCCCUGUCCUUCCUGUAGUUCGGCACAGAAUGAGCCUGUUAAUUCAACCAUGCGGAGUUUGUCAGGGAUCCAUACCCACUAGUGGAGCAGCUGGAACCUCUGGCAAUGCCCAGUCUUCCCAGCAGCUAUGGAGCUGCUGUCCCCUCAUUGUAAAGCACAUGGGGCACAGGAAAGGGGCAGACACAGAUACGUGUCCGAAAGCACAUCAGCCUUGGCAGUGAGAAUAUACUGCGAGGAGUGAACACCUGCUAGGGACAGUACACACCAAAACUUCCAUCUCAGCAAAGCCCAAACUGAGCAAUGGAGGUGGGUGAUGCUCCAAUAUUGCCUGUGCAGCUGUACCUGGGAUUGGUCAGGGGCAGAGGUCCAUGCUGCGUCAGGGAGCUGUGGUCUGUCCUGCCUGGAAAUCGUAUUUGUGAGCUGGAGCCGCAGCUCCACAUGGAGGGAUCCCUGCACACCACGAGCAGCACGGGGCCUCAGCAGGCUCAGUGCAUGUAGAACGCUUGCUUGGGGGGCCUUUGUACAGCACUUGGCUGGAGCACCGUUGUGAUUGUAAGAGCUCUGUUAUUCUCACUGAACAAAUUGUUCCUACAAAUAAAGAAUGAAAAGUC
Phalacrocorax carbo (great cormorant) is the source of this 5189-nucleotide non-coding RNA. NCBI's taxonomy places the organism in Eukaryota, Metazoa, Chordata, Aves, Suliformes, Phalacrocoracidae. The record is from RefSeq and is a predicted model, not a curated record.